UGUACCUACGGGACGCAGCAGUGGGGAAUAUUGGGCAAUGGGCGCAAGCCUGACCCAGCAACGCCGCGUGAAGGAAGAAGGCUUUCGGGUUGUAAACUUCUUUUGCCAGGGACGAAGCAAGUGACGGUACCUGACGAAUAAGCCACGGCUAACUACGUGCCAGCAGCCGCGGUAAUACGUAGGUGGCAAGCGUUAUCCGGAUUUAUUGGGUGUAAAGGGCGUGUAGGCGGGAAUGCAAGGCAGAUGUGAAAACUAUGGGCUCAACCCAUAGCCUGCAUUUGAAACUGGAUUU
RNAcentral lists this ribosomal RNA (292 nucleotides) under uncultured bacterium. RNAcentral describes it as "partial 16S ribosomal RNA". It matches the Rfam family "Bacterial small subunit ribosomal RNA", at positions 335 to 640 of the family's 1533-position model. The record is from RNAcentral.